This is a non-coding RNA of Pelobates cultripes (western spadefoot toad), 214 nucleotides long. Lineage: Eukaryota; Metazoa; Chordata; Amphibia; Anura; Pelobatidae. The record is from the annotation of a GenBank genome assembly.
UAGUGUGUUCAUAGGGGAUCCAGAGUGUAUAUAGGGAUCUAGUGUGUGUAGAUGAUCCAGAGUUGGGUAAGGUAUCUAGUGUGUGCCUGGAAUGUAAUGUGUUUAGGGGUGCAGUGAGUGUGUGAGGGGUUCUGUAGUAUUGUGUGUGUGAGUGGAGCUGUGUGUGUGGGUGCUGAGAGUGUCCGGGGUGCAGUGUGUGUGAAUAUGUUUAGAG